UGGGGUUUUAGUUAUAAAACCCACGAUUCCCCCUCUCCAGCCGCCGCCGCUGCCUCUAGCUCCAUUGUCUUCUCUCUCAAUCAGGAAUCCUAGAUUACCAGAUCACCACAAUCCAGUACUCCGUUCGCUGCUUCGUUGCCGCCGCUGCCGCUGCCGAUAAAGUUCGAGGGCAGACUCCUGUCGUUGAAAUGGACGGUAAAUUAUUUUCCUCGUGAUUAUACUGUAGCGUUUUGGUGAAUGACCAGUUCACUUCACUAUAUUUUUGGUUGAUUCAGUGUUUUUUGUAGAUGAUUUGAUGAGAUGACGUGAUGAUAUGAACAAUGAUUAAAGACAAGGUCUGAGCAGUCAUAUUAUUUAGUGAUGUGUUGAAUUAUCUUUAUAGUGGUUCCUGCUGUGUUUCUGUUGUUGGUUGUAUGGUUUUGGGGUGAAUGCAGUUGAUAUUUCCGCACUUCGUUUGGGGAUAUUGAAUCGUGAUGCACUGUUACAGUUGAGAGUGCAAGAAGCUGCAUAUGAGUAACUUUGCUUACUAUUUGCUUGUUUUGGAAUAUCUUCCUACGAGAUUGAAUAUGCUAGAGGAUGUCUUGAGUUUGUGUAGGUAUGAAAUACCAUGAUAUUGUAAUUGUUCUCUAAUUUAUACCACUGUGGUUGUAGUUGCAAUAGUAGCAGUUGAAUUGACUGAGGUUAUUAGAUAUGGGCCAAAGAUUCAUAUGUAUUGAGAUUCUCUAUUCCUUUUUCAUUUAGUAGGUGAAACCAUCCUAGGCGUAAGACCACUCGUCCAGUAUUUCUGUCAAUCGGGAAUGUUUUAUGUCGUAGUGUUAACAAACGUAUGCACUCCACACUUUUCAAUCCCAACCCGUAUAUGUUCAGCAAGUACUCAUUUGCUUUUAGAGGCGGAAUGUCUCUUAUCCACUCCAUAUAUUUGCUCCCGAAGUUAUCAACUAACUCCGUAAGACAAUCCUUUAUCCUUUCAACCAAAUUGUUGUUCUGUCCUCUUAUCUGAAUGAUUUUAGAUAUCUCACCAACUUUGGCCCUUCUAACCGAAACCUAGUCAACAACGUCUGAUGCCUCAAACAUCUUUUUCUCAUUCGUAUAUUUGGAGUGGUAAUCUUUCAUAUCAUAUAUUUGGAGUGGUAAUCUUUCAUAUCAUUCAGAAGUGCAGGGUUGUGUUUUUUCUUGGUUCACAUCCUCAAAAGUUUUAUCUUCUUUAACCCGUUUAACUCGUUUCCCCUUAUGCACAACACUGCCUGAAUUUCUCGGAAAUAUAGCAGCUAGCAAUAUGAAGGCAGGACUUGAAAUCGCAUCAUUCAUGUUUUGUGCAAGAUAUGCUCCAACUAUAGAGUCCAUAACCGAACCUUUACACUCAGAAAAUUUUCUUUCACCUUGGAUAUGAUUCAUGCGUGACAUAAACAACUCAAUCUGACUGUCCAAUAAUAAUAGUACAUCUUUUUCAUCACGCUCUCCGCUGCAUUCGAAGUACUAUCAUUAUCGGUUAGUCAGAUUGAGUUGUUUAUGUCACGCAUGAAUCAUAUUCAAGGUGAAGGAAAAUUUUCUGAGUGGAAAGGUUCGGUCAUGGACUUUAUAGCUGGAGCAUAUCUUGCACAAAACGUGAAUGAUCGAUUUCAAGCGCGGCCUUCAUGUUGCUAGCUGCUAUAUUUCUGAGAAAUUCAGGCAGUGUUGCGCAUAAGGGGGAAACGUGUUAAAGAAGAUAAAAUUUUGAGGAUGUGAACCAAGAAAAAACACAACCCUGCACUUUUGAAUGAUAUGAAAGAUUGUCACUCCAAAUAUGAGAAGAUGUCUGAGGCAACAGACGCUGUUGACUGUGAUUCGGUUAAGAGGGUCGGAGUUGGUGAGAUAUCUAAGGCCAUUUAGAUAAGAGGACGAAGCAACAAUUUGGCUAAAAGGAUAAAUGAUUGCCUUACGGAGUUAUAGUUGAUAACAUUGGAUAUGGAGUGUAUAAGAGACGCUCCACCUAUAAAAGCAAAGGAGUACUUGCUGAACAUAUACGGGUUGACAGAAAUGCUGGACGAGUGGUCUUACGUCUAGGAUGGUUUCACCUACUGAAUGAAAAAGGAACAGGGAAUCUGGACUCGAUAUAGAUGCAUCUUUGGCCCAUUUCUAAUAUGGUAUCAGAGCGCGCUCAAGUCGAAGAUGGAUUUUAUCACGCCUAUUAGAAGUAGAAGGCACUCUGAUGGGAUCUUCACGGCCGGAAAAGAUUGCAGUCCGUUUGAUAAUUAUCGAGUUACAUUGCUUCUUCGGCCCGAAUCGAGGAAUCCCUUAGAUAUGAUGCAAAACGGAUCUUGUUCUAUCUUUGAUCAGAGAUUUCUCUAUGAAAAAUAUGAAUCGGAGUUUGAAGAAGGGGAGAGGCAAGGAGCCCUGGACCCACAAUAGAUAAAGGAGGAUUUAUUCAAUCACAUAGUUUGGGCUUUCUCUUGCCUACCCACGUGAUGGAAAUUCGAUGUGUCAUUCCGGCCCACAUGUGAGGGGUGUUAAAAACUAUAAAAUCUUGUCCCACAUCGACAUGGAGAUGUGUCAUUCCGGCCCACAGGUGAGGGGGUGUUAAAAACUAUAAAUCUUGUCCCACAUCAACAUGGAGAUGAUCCUAUCUCAUCUAUAUAAGAGUGGAUAACACUCCCUCCUUAUAAGGCAUUUUUAGGGGUGAGUGACGCAUUUCUAAUAGAGGAUUUGGUUCUCUUGCAUUCAUGACUUGCGUUUUGUUGUCUGGUGAUGGAAAAACAUUAGAAGCAGCGGCUGCUCACGGGACUGUAACCCAUCAUUUUCUACAGCAUCAGAAGGGGCACGAGACCAGCACCAACAGUAUUGCCUCUAUGUUUUUGCUAUACUCAAAUGGAUUCAUAGCUCGGUUUUUGUUACAAAACACUACCAUAAAAUUUCGAAGCACUUGAAGAACAUCUUUAUGCUCAACUGAAGCAGUUGUUUUGGUCAUGUUCUCAAAAACAUGAACGUUUGACAAUCAGACAAUUUGGUGACUGAUCUUCGUCAGUUUUAAUUACUCGUUCUGACUACACAAUAGGGUCUUCCUCCUUGAUUGUUCCUCAUUACUCUGAAUGGCAUUAUCUAAAUCAUUGUUUCAUAUGAAGGGUUUCGAGGGCGUUUUACUUGAGCACCGAAGAAUUUAUUGACGCUGUUGCACAAAAGCUUGAGUCAAAGCUUCGUCCCCUGGUAACUGUCCAGCAAUCUUGAGAUUUUGCCAAGGCACAACCGCACAACUCAUUUCUUAACUGAUUUCUAGGUGAAAAUUCAUAUGCUGCAGAUUUUGUAUAUGUUAUAUGUUAUGUGAAUGUGAUAUGCACCCUCUCAGUUUCAACUAAAAUAUCAAUGGAAUCAGUGUAAUUAGCUUACCGUGAAAAACAUGGGCCUUUAUAUAUCGAUUUAGAUAUUCCUUUUCUUU
Salvia splendens (bonfire salvia) is the source of this 3409-nucleotide long non-coding RNA. RefSeq lists it as uncharacterized. The transcript is spliced from 3 exons. NCBI's taxonomy places the organism in Eukaryota, Viridiplantae, Streptophyta, Magnoliopsida, Lamiales, Lamiaceae. The record is from RefSeq and is a predicted model, not a curated record.